UGCCAAGCUCAGUCCUGUAGGAUCAGAGU
RNAcentral lists this non-coding RNA (29 nucleotides) under Mus musculus (house mouse). Lineage: Eukaryota; Metazoa; Chordata; Mammalia; Rodentia; Muridae. The record is from RNAcentral.